This is a long non-coding RNA of Hippocampus comes (tiger tail seahorse), 933 nucleotides long. RefSeq lists it as uncharacterized. NCBI's taxonomy places the organism in Eukaryota, Metazoa, Chordata, Actinopteri, Syngnathiformes, Syngnathidae. The record is from RefSeq and is a predicted model, not a curated record. The transcript is spliced from 2 exons.
CCGUGUUUCGUAUCUGAAAAUGACAGCGCAGUUGCUUCUUCACUCCAUCCAGAUGACUUUGAAUCCAAAUUCCAGUUCCACCCAAAAGAAGAUUUUCCUCCUCCAGAUGAAUUCAAGCCUUUCCCUCGCAUCUACCCCAGUAAAGAAAACAGAGUAAAUCCAGCGCCCCAUGGGAUCAGGUCACACCUCAGAUGAGAUUCAUCCCACACAAUUCCUGGAUACAAAGGUUCGGAAACGCUCAACAAUAAACACAAGAGCCAGGCGCUUUUGGUUCCGCGGCGGGGAUAUCGUUUGCGUGUUAGUUGCGCCUCCUACGACAUAACGGUGACCUCUGACCUUUUCUGGAGUGGAAUGUUUUGAAUGCGAGUGAGAGGAGGGCCCGCCCGACUCGUCCUCAUCAGCACAUACGCGCAGUCUCUCGUGAAUUUCUUCCAGGGGCUAUUUUGGAUGUGGUUUGUUUGAAGCGGUUUUGAGCAAUUUGUUAUCUGUACACAAAAGAAAUGAGAAUGAUCUGCAAAAGCCGCGGGCAUAUUAAACUCUUUUGAUAAUGACAUCCAACGUUCACACAACAGAGUUAGCAUACAUUGGGUUUGUUGCUGCGGUAAGCAACAGCGAAAUACUGUUGCAGGCUUCGCUAGCAUUUCAAGUCCAAUUUGAUGGACGCCAAUAGAUCAUGUGGACAUAUUUUUCAUUGCGGACAAUGACUCGACUUCUACUGUGACUGCGGAAGUGCACUUGAGUACAUUUUCCUCGAGAUCAGGUUGGCGCUCCCCGAUGUACUAACCAGACUUGUAACAACAGCGCCAUCUGUUGGCCAAUCACGUGAUAAAAUCACACUUUUCCCAGUCACUUUAUUGAUCACGUUGACGAAAAGGGGCAAGUGCAACAACGUUAUUUGCUUGAUAGAAAAUAAAAAUGCAAACAACAGUCUUA